Molecule: long non-coding RNA, 1737 nt
Filed under: Trifolium pratense (red clover)
Lineage: Eukaryota; Viridiplantae; Streptophyta; Magnoliopsida; Fabales; Fabaceae
Description: long non-coding RNA (TPRA_LNC013663)
Source: RNAcentral
GUUUAUUUCACAAGUGUCCUUUCUCAAAUCUGCAAAAUGUUAAUUUUUAUGUCCGAAGUGAAGAAAUUGGAGAUGAGUACCUCUGCGAUACAUUUUUCGGUCUGUGUUAUAUACUUUCAACUAUUUCUUAUUUGACAAUCUGAACUUAGAUUUGAACAUUUCUACAUUCAUGCUUCUCAAUUCUUCUCUGAAAGCUUGGCAAGAUUAUCAUUACUCAUCAUUGGCAUAUAAUUGGUCUUUUUUUUAGGGAUAGUGUUGGGGCAUGAGUGUGAAGCAUUUAAGAUUCCAGAGUAAUGCUCUUUGCCAUCCCCAAGGAUGAGGAAUUCUUGACAAGCUUGGUUUGCCACUUCUUUUGUUAUAAUUUAUUAUUUCCAUUUUCUUGCUAUUAUUUAGGAAAUGGCUGUUUGCGUACAUUUUUUUGCUCUAUUUACUCUUGUUUUAUGAAGAAUUGUUUGCCUAAAUUUUGGAUAUAAUUCUAAAUUGGAUGAUUGAGAGAUGUGUUUAUUUAUUUUUCAGCGAGUUGAAGUCUUUGGAUAUGUAGAACAAAUUACGAUUCUUGAUUAAAUUAAAUGGUUGAGAACGGAGAACACAUCCAGAUAAAUCAAAUUUCUUCAAUUUCUUCAAUGAGUCAGUCUUUAUAAUAAAAUUUCUUCAGUGAGUCAUUCUUUAUAAUUUCUAUUUCUUUGUUUGGUAAUUCAGAGAAGCGUUUAUCCGUUUUGCAGCGGGCUAAGAAGUUUCGAUAUCUAGAAUGUGUUGAUAAAAUGGACAAGAACAUGUAGCCAAGAGUUUUAAUUUGGUGAUCUCUGGUAAAUUCUUUUUGUUUCAAUCUUUAUCGAUUUUGAGAGCAUAUAUUUCCUGAUUUUGAGAGUACUGUGUAUGAUUUUGAUUUACGUCUUGAUUUGCUUUUUUAUGAAUUUCAUAGAAUCAAACUUCUCUUGACUCUUCUUUUACUCAUCAAGAUUUUGUAUAAUUUUUUUAUAUAACUCUUUGUUUGGUAAUCGAGAGACGCGUGUAUCUGUUUUGCAGCGGGCUAAGAAGUUUCGAUGUCUAGAAUGACUUGAUAAAAUGGACAACAAUGAAGAAAGAUUCAAUAUAGAUAAAUCAAAUUUCUUCAUGUUCUGUAUUCUUAUUCUUUUCUGCUUGAUAAUUUGGUAUUUUGGUUGUGCUUGGUUUCAUUCUUGGAGUUGCUGGUUUUAUUGUUUGAUUUAAUUAAUAUUAUUAUCAAGUUCAUUUUGGUUUUAAUAGACUUGUUCUUCCAAUUCCUCUUAUUUUUCAGAUAUUAUUCUUCGAGUACAAAUGGGUGUUUUGCUUUUAAUCUGUUGGCAACACGCUGGAGUUCUGAUUUGAAUUUUUCCUUUUUACGAAGCUUGAUGCAUGAUUAUCACCCUCUGGUUGAAGUUUUUGUGAAGCUUACUGCAGGGUAUUGUGUUUUGACAUCAUUAGAUAUAUUUUGGUAAACUUUUCAAUUCCUCUAUUCUCUUUGGACUCAAGCCUUGGUCUGUUUUCUUAUAUUGGGACUCAAUUCCUCUAUUCUCUCUUUGUAACUAUGAUAUUCUGAUCAGCGACUUGGUUUGGAGAAUUAUGCUACUAUUAUUUCUUUAUUCUUGGUUUUUUUACAACUACUUGUAAUAGUGUAAUUUUGUUGUACAUAUCUGAUGUUCACAGGGUUACAUGGAUUUAUUGCAUUUCAUAAGUGUGUCCUUUUUCAAUUGCACUGCAACAUGUUAAUUUUAUUGU